UCUGUGCUCCUGGGACUGAAUGUAGGCUUCCUGUAUGAGACACUGAUUAUUGAGCUAAGGACUGGCUGUAGCCUAGACAGUCUUCCAGCCUGGACGGAGGCCUCCUGAGCAACUCAGAGUGAAUGUGUUUUCAGAGUUAAGUACCAGGGACCCUGCGCAUGGUGGCUGCAUCCUGUCAUCAUGAACCAGGUUGUUCACAGGGCUCAUUCGAGAUAGAUGCUACAGAGUGUGUGUCCCCCAACUGCCAUGGUGGGGCGCUGUGCUGAGUGGCUUGUGAGGGUCACCUCAUAAAGUGUCGACUGUUCUGUACACGGAAGUUAUUCCUAGGUCAUCGGGAGGUCUCUACUUUGAAAGUGGGGAAACUGAGUCUCAAGCUCGGGGACAUCAAUAGUCAGGAAGCUCAGAUCCACAGAGAGAAGCUGGCUUCUGCCCGAGUUCCAUACUCCUCUAGGCUUCUCCAUCGGCCACAUGGUAAGUUGGAUCGAGGGUAGACAAGCUGGAGCUGUGCAUGUCCCCAGCUGUGCCUAAGGGACCCUACUUCCCCUGAGAACAAAGCUAUCACCAAGCCUGUCUCUGCUGCAGUUCAUGUCCCAGCUGUGGCUCAGGGUCCCCCAAUUCCCCUGCUACAGUGCAUGUCCCAGCUGUGCCUCAGGGACCCCAUGUUCCCUGCUGCAGUGCAUGUCCCUAGAUGUGCCUCAGGGUCCCCAUGUCCCCUGCUGCAGUGUGUGUCCCCAGCUGUGUCUCAGGGUUCCCCCAAUUCUCCUGCUGUAGUACAUGUUCCCAGCUGUGUCUCAUGGACCCCAGUUCCUCUGAGAACAGCAUUAUCACCAAGCCUGUCUCAGAUGGGGUUGAGGUUUCCUCUGCACACAAUAAAGGCCCUGGGACAAAUGCUUUCCAGCGCCGAUGGCUGGUGCAGUAGUGAGGAAGCUUAAAGGGCAGGGCUCUAGAGAGCUUAGAAUAGUUUGUUUUUUUUUUUCAUUGCUGUGAAGAAAUAUCCUACAAGAGCCAUCAGAAGGAGAAGGGUUUUAUUCUGUCCCCGAUUGAGGACAUCAUGCCCAUCAGGAAAGACAAGGCAUGAGAAAGCAGACCACACAUGGCAUCCACAGUCACAAAUGCUGGUACUCAGUUCAAUUUCUUCUUUGUAUCCAGGCCUGGAUCCUAGCCCAGGGAUGGUGGUUUUCACAUUUAGAGUGUAUCUCCCAUCUCAGUUAACCUAACCUUAGAAAUUCCGUCACAGACAGGCCCAGAGGUCUGACUCCUAGGUGAUGCUGGAGACUGUCCAUUCAACAACAUUACCAUUUUGGGGGCUGGAGAGAUGGCUCAGUGGUUAAGAGCACUGACUACUCUUCCGAAGGUCCUGAGUUCAAAUCCCGACAACAACAUGAUGGCUCACAACCAUCCGUAAUGAGAUCUGAUGCCCUCUUCUGGGGUGUCUGUAGACAGCUACAGUGUACUUACAUAUAAUAAACAAACAAACAAACAAAUGUAUCUUUUAAAACAAACAAAAACACCAUUACCAUUUUAACCAACAGAGAGGGUUCUGUGACUUCCAGAGCUCUGUGACCUUGAACACACUCCCCAGCCCCUUGGCCCCACAUCUUCUAUCUCUGGAAUGGGAAUGAUGUCAGUCUAUAGGAGUAUCUGAAGUCACUGUUGGGGCAGAGCUACAGAGAAGGAUCUGGUGUGGGUGGCUUCUUUUCAAGGUGAAUUCAGGAUGCUGGAAUCCAGGGCAGUGAGCGGCAGGAAAUAAAGACCUGGUCCCUAUGUUCAGGAACAGAUGACUAUGGCAGACACGGGGAGCUUGGUCCUGCUGGGAACCCCAGGGAGCAGAUCAGGGUCCACACUGGGCUGCUCUCAGCCAGGUGCAUGGCACCAGAUGGUCAUUCCCUCUUCUCCAGUCUCCUUCUGAAAUGAUGCCUCACAGAUUGGGUGUGUCUGACCCUGAGAACCAAAGGGAGUCCUGGACAACGAGAGUAGACAGAGGUGGAUCUCAGAAGUCAAGUAGGCACAGAUACAACCCUAGUCACAGCUACACACAUCUCUUGAAAAUCCCCCUCAAGUUGAAAAAUACCCUACUACUAAAACACGAACAGUGACCAUAGCUAUAUCUUGGCAUCUUCAGGAAUAAAUGAAUGGCAACCCAGGAUGAAAACCUAGGGGCUUGAUCUCACUCAGAGGCUUCAAGGCUAGUGCUAUCUUGUGAUGUCCAACUGCUCAGAGAAGUACCCCAUCCCCCAUAUCUCCCUGUGCUCCAAGGAGGGAAAGCUUUCUGCAUUCUAAGGGAAGCUUGAAACCCUGCAGAGACAGUGCGCACAAAGCAUCCCCAGAGCUUCUGCGACAGACAAGCCCUGGGUUCUCUGAUUUAAUAUCAUUCUACACUGCGGAGAAAUGUGGGGCGAGAGGCCAGUGGUGGGGGGGCAUCCAGGCUAAAUGGCUGAGUCAAUAGUGUAUCUAUCACCCAUGAGGAAGAAACAGAAAUGCCAUAGAGGGAAUGGCCUUUGAGGGAACCUCCCAGUGUCUGGGGUUUUAUCUGACUUGUCUCUUAUGUCCCUAACUUAGCCAUUAAAGGGUGCCUGUAAUUCUAUUUUUAAGACGAGGAAAGCAAAGACUCAAGAGAAAAACAACAACUUGCCCAGGGCCACAUAACAAGGAACCGGCAAAGUCAGAAUGAAGGACAGAGUCCAUGCUAGCACUAAGAGAGAGGCUACCAGCUCUCUACAGCAUGCCACUAGGCCUCAAUACUCAUGGGGUAUGGGGGCCUCGCUGAGGUCACUUCAUGGCCUAGUGUCCUUUUCCCCUGGCCUCAGGAGCCAUGUGGCUUCAGUGGAGUACCUGGACUUGGUGCCUUCAUCUGUAAGGCAAAGGCACAUGGAGACCUUGUUUACUGGCACCCGUUGAAAGAGGGUGAGGUUGGGUUAGGGCUAGGGCUAGGGCUAGGGCUAGGGCUAGGGCUAGGGCUAGGGCUAGGGCUAGGGCUAGGGCUAGGGCUAGGGCUAGGGCUAGGGCUAGGGCUAGGGGUAGGGAUAGGGAUAGGGAUAGGGAUAGGGAUAGGGAUAGGGAUAGGGAUAGGGAUAGGGAUAGGGAUAGGGUUAGGGUUAGGGUUAGGGGGUCACAUUGGGACUGAUCUGCAGGAGGCAAAAAGGACAAGGCUUCCAGAGCCAUCCCGUAAGUCAGACAGGAGCAGCCAGGUGAGCUGUCUACAGCGCCCCAUGUCUUCCUCCCCAGCCGUCUCAGGACUUAGUAGGGUCUGCCAAACGCAAGCACCCGGGUUCAAUCCUCAGCACAGCAAAACCAUGAUAAUUAUAAAGCCCACCCUCUUAGUGAUAUCCUUCCUCUACAGCUGCUUAGUGGAAAUCCCCAGGGUCCCCUGGUGUGGGAGGAGAAGUGUCGUGUCCUUCCUGGGGCUCCUAUGUGUGGCGUGCAGUGAGCCAGCCAUAGCUGGUACAGUCCUUUGGAGUUAGCCAAUCAUAGCUGGUACAUGUAGCCUGGUAGCCUAGAAAGUUAAGUAGGCAGAGGCAGGAGAGACAGGGCUCUGUCUUCCAGAGCCCAUGGGCCCUCUACCUCAAGGCUCCUUUUGACCCAUGUAGAAUGGAGCUGAAGGCAUACAGUGGAUUUAUCUCUCCCACACACCCACCUUGAUCCUCACCUUAAACACACUAUGGCUGUGUCUGUGACAGCCUAUCUCUAGAACACUCCAUGGGGUAGUCACUUGUCCCCAUACAGGGAUUUGAACCCAUGGCCUCAGCAUUAGCAACACUACCUGAAGCUCAGUCCAUUUUUUUGUUUUUGUUUUUUUUCCUUUUGCUUUUGGACAGAGGUUGACUGAGUUGCCCAGGCUGGAUUUGAACUCACUCUGUAGCUUGAGGAGGGUUGAUUGAGCUCAAUCCUCCUGCCUCAGCUUCUUGAGUAACUGAGAGUUUGGGGCUAUAGCAUCAAUUCAGUGAGAAGAGAGAGAGAGGAAGGGGAGAGAUGGGGGCAGCAAGGAUGAAGAAAGAAAGGGGGGCAGGGAGCAGCUUCCUCUGGCUGCUGGAAUGAGUUACCUCAUAGCCAGGUUUCUGGGUCAGGGAUGGGGGUACGUGAAGCUCUCAUGCAAGACUUUUGGCAGCCGAGCCAAUUGGGUUCCUAAAGAUUAUUAUUUUAGCAAACCCAUCUUGGAUGUGUCCAGAGUCGGCAGGAGGCUCUGCAGUGCUCUCCAAGAAAGUGCACGGCUGCUUGGGUUCUUAUUUCAGUCGGGCCCAGGGAGGGGUUCUGUUUUGCUCAGCUUGUGUUUCUGGAAAAGCUGGCCCUUGGGAGGAGCCUGGGUGUGGAUGGAGAGCUUGGUGGGUCUGGGGAGGAUGGGAUGGGGGUGGCUGCCAGACCUGGGUCUCCAUUCUGUGUCUGUUCUUGAAUCGGGGACCCCAGAAGGAAGUCAGGCUGAAGAUCAUGUGCUGGGGUCCUUAUGCCUCAUUCCUGAGCAAUAUUAUCUCUGGGUCUCCAGAGCCUGAGGGCGACAGGAACUGGGGUUGAUGGCUCUCUGUGAUUGGCUAUCACCUGGAUGUUGCUGGCCCACUUAUUGCCUCAGUUUCCCUCACUCGAAUAAAGAGGCUUGAAAGCUUAUGCAUGCCCUGUCCCUUGCCCUUCCUUCCAACGUUGCUCCUGGCCACUCUCUCCUUCCCAGGCCCCCAAAGAAGCACACCCACCUGCAGCCCCAGGCCCCUCCUUCGUGUCUGAGAGCCUUCAGGACUUCAGCUCUCUCUGUCUCAUCGUCUGGGUAUCCUAAAUAGUACGUUCCCUGACCUCCUGCAUGAGUCAGAGGCCCCACAGUGAAUUCUUGUCUCUGUUCCCCAUUCCUCUAGCAGGACUGCACUAGGAGGUCUGUGUCCCUCGUUGACCCCGAAGCCACCUCCUUGUUCCUUGUGGUACCCAACAGGGCACAAGGAUAGCUUCCCCAGGGAAGGUUACAGAUGUGUGUCUCUCAGCCAAGGACAGAGCCCAGGACAACAGACAGACAAACAGAUGGAUGGACGGGAGGCUCCUGCUCCUUGUUACAGUCAAGUGCAUCAUCUCUGUCUGAGCCUGCCACCUUCAGUAUUUGGUAGCCACCCUUCAGAUGAUGGAAAUUCCAUUCUGACCUCUUUCCAGGCACGUUCAGAAUCUCUGGGGUUGAGACUUCUCCAAAAACUUCUGCAGGAUCCUGGUGGGAAGCUCUCUCCUCUCUCUGCGUCAGCUUCCUGGGGGACCCACCGUUCCUUCCAGCCCAGAGCGGCAUCACUGUCUACACAUCACAAGCCUGGGUUGGUGUCGAGUGUCUCUGACUUUGGAGUCUCGAGCCCCGGACUUAGUUUUAUGGGCUUUGGCUGUCGAGGGCAGCCGACGACUCCAUCCAUCAACCGGGGACUGCUCUAACACUAAUGGUGAAUUUAUAGAAGUGGUUAAACAAAGUGUUGACAAUGCGGACGGUGUGUUUCUGAUUAACACACGAUUCCGAGGGAAGCUGCCAUCCGAGGGGGGAGUCAGUAAAACACAGCAGUGAAUUCCCAGGCCCCGGAGACUCCGACUAGACUGGAUCACCAGAGGUUGCGCAAGGAGAUCAUGAGUCUGAGGCUGCUGUGGGGACUCUUGUACAAACCCAGAGCCACCCCUCCCUUCCCCCCCUUUUUUUUUCUUGAGAGAUUACAUCUGAGUUCUCUCUUCCA
Mus musculus (house mouse) is the source of this 5675-nucleotide long non-coding RNA. RefSeq annotates it as predicted gene, 36535. NCBI's taxonomy places the organism in Eukaryota, Metazoa, Chordata, Mammalia, Rodentia, Muridae. The record is from RefSeq and is a predicted model, not a curated record. The transcript is spliced from 2 exons.